RNAcentral lists this unclassified non-coding RNA (245 nucleotides) under plant metagenome. Its description in RNAcentral is "partial contains small subunit ribosomal RNA, internal transcribed spacer 1, and 5.8S ribosomal RNA". The stretch from base 197 to 245 matches the Rfam family "5.8S ribosomal RNA", at positions 1 to 49 of the family's 154-position model. The record is from RNAcentral.
UCUCCGUUGGUGAACCAGCGGAGGGAUCAUUACAGGACUCGCAAGACUCCUACAACCCUGUGAACUUAACUAUAAGCACGUUGCUUCGGCGGGUGUCUCGGAGGGGGUUCUCCCACCCCGAGACGCUAAACCCGCCGGCAGCCUACUAUACUCUGUCUCUUUGCCUUGGCAUCUCGAGUACAAUCAAACAAGUUAAAACUUUCAACAACGGAUCUCUUGGUUCUGGCAUCGAUGAAGAACGUAGC